GGCUUCCUAAUCAGCCCCAGACUUGGGUCAGGACUUGGGUUUUCUUAGAAGAAGUGCCAAGACCUUUAAAGGGCACCUUUCAUCUCCUUCACCCCUCCUCCCCCCUCUCAGGCAUGGUGCCAAGAGGAAGCACCCAGCAGGCAUGGGUGAGAGGGACACAAAAGGUCUGCAGGGGCUCUUCCUGGCCCUGCUGGCAGCUGGCCUAGCCCCAUCCUCGUCCCCUUCCUUUCUCAAGUUGUGAUUAUCUUUUCAGACCCUGGGGGACUUCUAGCCCUGUAGGCUCCAGAAGGGACUUCCUGUGGCUCUCAGGAACCCCUUGGGUGCUGAGAGGCUCCUGGGAAAGGCUUGAGCCAUGAUACCACGUGCUCCAAAGCCCCACUUUCAUGGGCUCAGCUGCUGAUGAAUCUGCCUUCUUGUGCCACUGACUCUGAGUCCACAGACACAACCCCAGUGGUCUCCUUUCAGCACUGUCGCUGCCAGCUGCCUAAGAUGGGUGACACCUGGGCCCAGCUCCCCUGGCCGGGGCCCCCUCAACCAGCCAUGCUGCUGAUCUCACUACUCUUGGCAGUUGGGGUGAUGCACUCAGAUGCUGGCACCAGCUGCCCGGUCCUCUGCACGUGCCGUAACCAGGUGGUAGAUUGCAGCAGCCAGCGGCUAUUCUCCGUGCCACCGGACUUGCCGAUGGACACUCGCAACCUCAGCCUGGCCCACAAUCGCAUAGCGGCCGUGCCACCUGGCUACCUCACGUGCUACAUGGAGCUCCGCGUGUUGGAUUUGCGCAACAACUCCUUGAUGGAGCUGCCCCCAGGCCUCUUUCUCCAUGCCAAGCGCUUGGCGCACCUGGAUCUGAGCUAUAACAACCUCAGCCACGUGCCAGCCGACAUGUUCCAGGAGGCGCACAGUCUUGUGCACAUUGACCUGAGCCACAAUCCGUGGCUACGCAGGGUGCACCCCCAGGCUUUCCAGGGCCUUGUGCAGCUCCGAGACCUGGACCUCAGCUAUGGUGGACUGGCCUUCCUCAGCCUGGAAGCCCUUGAGGGCCUGCCAGGGCUGGUGACCCUGCAGAUUGGCGGCAACCCCUGGGUGUGUGGCUGCACCAUGGAGCCCCUGCUAAAGUGGCUGCGGAACCGGAUCCAGCGCUGUACAGCAGAUUCUCAACUGGCUGAAUGUCGGGGUCCCCCUGAAGUGGAGGGUGCCCCCCUCUUCUCGCUCACUGAGGAGAGUUUCAAGGCCUGCCACCUGACCCUGACUCUGGAUGAUUACCUCUUCAUUGCCUUCGUGGGCUUUGUGGUCUCCAUUGCAUCUGUGGCCACCAACUUCCUCCUGGGCAUCACAGCAAACUGCUGUCACCGUUGGAGCAAGGCCAGUGAAGAGGAAGAGAUUUGACAUGGGUGCCUCUCACCUCUCCAUGCUUCCAACUACCACUGCCACUGGCCACUGAACACCCUCCCUGCCCGCCCUGGUUCUGUGUGCCUGGCUGCCUCAGUCAUGACUCAAGCAAGACCAGGACACUAACCUGACCUAUCCUGACUUUGUGUGGGCAUCAACCUUGGGUCAAGCACUGUGCUAGGAACUGGGAAUGUACAAUAAAUUGACCCAGUUCCCACCCUCAAGGCACUUACCAUUAGCACAAGAUUGAAAUUUUAAAAUUAUUCCCUUUCCAACAACGUGUCAAUACUCUGAGCACAUAGUAUAGAAGCCCAGAGGAGAAGCCAUCAACUGUGCCUAGCAAAGUCCAAGAGAAUUACAAGAAUGGAGGUGACUCAUGAGCUCAUCUCCUUUGUCAAGCAGACAUAAAUGACCGAGGCCACAACACACAUGCUCCAGCAGCCUCCAUCACCCCAUCCUCCUGGCAGGCCUGAAAGAAAUGAAGGAGGAUAAUGUGUCAUCUUUCAAGAAAUCAUCCCUCAUCCAUGCUUCCUUGAGCUAGUCAACCAAAAGAGUCCCCCGAAACAUUGCUAGAUCUGGAGUGCUUGAACUUUGUGCCCCCUGAAUCUUGCUUAUAGAACCUGGACCAGAGCCCUGCUCCUGUGACAGCUGAAGCCGAACUGUGCCCUGCUCUCUUCUGCUCUGACGAUGGUGGACUUGAGAUGCUCUCGACCAGUCAAGCUGACAGCCUAAAGUGUUGGGAGAAACUUUCAGAAAUAAUAGUCCUGACAAAAUAGUUAAGCUUCCCAUAGAGGAACACCACAUGCAUCUAUGAUAAUCUCCUAGAGACUAUUCUUUGCUGAAAUACAGUUAAUAUGUUUUUAAGAUACGUACUUUUUUGCAUAGAAUUAAAACCAGGCAAGACAUCAAAUGUCCCUUGAGAUCAAACAUUAUUUCUAGUGGGACAAUUUGGUCGCCAUGAAUAGCAAACCUUUCUGAGCACAACACAAAUGUUUCUCCAGCUGCUAAAAGAUCCCCCGUUAACCAAAACACUAUGAGGAAACAAUUCAACCGCCUUCCUGACAAGGAAUUCCCUGCUUGUCCCGGCACCACCACCACCAUCUUGUUUAGGCUUUCAGAAGCAAGCUUCUAGAGGUAAUCUAGCAAUUUUGUCUUGAAUUGCUCCCCAUCCCUGGUGACCACAAAACCAUUAUGGUGUUACCACAGGUUUUAUUCAAACUGUUCCAGGCUGGCUAACAUGUAUUUGAUGGAAUAUCUCUGCAUCUCUAUGUCUGUGUAUGAGGUUCCAUUUAUACUGGUUAUCUGUUGACAUAGGGCUGAUCUUUCUGGAAUUUGAGUCCAGCCCUCUGACACAGUCCACUCGAUCAUCUGACUGUUGCAUUAUUUGAUAUACUAAGAUGGUAUUUCCCCAAGAUUGAAGUGGGAUUGGCUGCUGCAAAAACAGAAAAGGAGAAAAUUUGUGGUGGAGACAUCUUUAUAAGAACCUGACUUCUUCCUGCUCCCAUCUGUUCUUUCCUACCCCUCAAAGACUUGUUCUCAUUGCAAAAGCAUCCUUCAUUCUUGGCCAGAGGAUAUCAAAGUUUAGCUAACCAACAAAACUAUGACAGUUAAGGCCUGGGCCAAGAAAAUUGUUCUGUAGAAGAGCCACCACAUUUGCACUGCAACACUCUAGACUAGUUGCCUCUGGUUACCUU
Molecule: RNA transcript, 3083 nt
Organism: Tupaia belangeri chinensis (Chinese tree shrew)
Lineage: Eukaryota; Metazoa; Chordata; Mammalia; Scandentia; Tupaiidae
Gene: LRRC55
Gene name: leucine rich repeat containing 55
Exons: 3
Source: RefSeq, a predicted model, not a curated record